This 497-nucleotide ribosomal RNA is filed under the name uncultured bacterium. RNAcentral describes it as "partial 16S ribosomal RNA". It matches the Rfam family "Bacterial small subunit ribosomal RNA", at positions 28 to 507 of the family's 1533-position model. The record is from RNAcentral.
GAUGAACGCUGGCGGCGUGCCUAAUACAUGCAAGUCGAGCGAACAGACGAGAAGCUUGCUUCUCUGAUGUUAGCGGCGGACGGGUGAGUAACACGUGGAUAACCUACCUAUAAGACUGGGAUAACUUCGGGAAACCGGAGCUAAUACCGGAUGAUAUAUUGAACCGCAUGGUUCAAAAGUGAAAGACGGUCUUGCUGUCACUUAUAGAUGGAUCCGCGCUGCAUUAGCUAGUUGGUAAGGUAACGGCUUACCAAGGCAACGAUGCGUAGCCGACCUGAGAGGGUGAUCGGCCACACUGGAACUGAGACACGGUCCAGACUCCUACGGGAGGCAGCAGUAGGGAAUCUUCCGCAAUGGGCGAAAGCCUGACGGAGCAACGCCGCGUGAGUGAUGAAGGUCUUCGGAUCGUAAAACUCUGUUAUUAGGGAAGAACAUAUGUGUAAGUAACUGUGCACAUCUUGACGGUACCUAAUCAGAAAGCCACGGCUAACUACGUG